Molecule: ribosomal RNA, 475 nt
Filed under: uncultured bacterium
Lineage: Bacteria
Description: bacterial SSU rRNA
Rfam family: Bacterial small subunit ribosomal RNA
Source: RNAcentral
UGCAAGUCGAACGAGAAUUCCGAUUCGUCGGGAGAGUAAAGUGGCGAACGGGUGAGUAACACAAGGGUAAUCUGCCCUUAAAUUAGGGAUAACCUUGCGAAAGCGAAGCUAAUACCUGAUAAGACUACGACUUCUUAGGUUGUUGUAGGAAAAGAUGGCCUCUGUUUCAAGCUAUCGUUUAAGGAUGAGCCCUUGCACUAUUAGCUUGUUGGUGGGGUAAUGGCCUACCAAGGCUACGAUGGUUAGCUGGUCUGAGAGGAUGACCAGCCACACUGGAACUGAGACACGGUCCAGACUCCUACGGGAGGCAGCAGUGAGGAAUAUUGCGCAAUGGGGGAAACCCUGACGCAGUGACGCCGCGUGAGUGAUGAAGGCUUUCGAGUCGUAAAGCUCUGUUAGGUGGAAAGAAACAUUCCAACGCUAAUAUCGUUGGAACUUGACGGUACCACCAGAGGAAGCACCGGCUAACUCCGUG